UACGGAAUGUGCAAACGUUAUUCGGAAUCACUGGGCUUAAAGAGUCCGUAGGCGGCUUGUUAGGUGAGGUGUGAAAUCCCUCGGCCCAACCGAGGAAUUGCGCUUCAAACCGGCAAGAUAGAGGAGGAUAGAGGUGGGCGGAACUGAUGGUGGAGCGGUGAAAUGCGUUGAUAUCAUCAGGAACACCGGAGGCGAAGGCGGUCCACUGGGUCCUUUCUGACGCUGAGGGACGAAAGCUAGGGGAGCGAACGGG
This 253-nucleotide ribosomal RNA is filed under the name uncultured bacterium. Its description in RNAcentral is "partial 16S ribosomal RNA". It matches the Rfam family "Bacterial small subunit ribosomal RNA", at positions 524 to 776 of the family's 1533-position model. The record is from RNAcentral.